Molecule: transfer RNA, 75 nt
Filed under: Pectobacterium versatile
Lineage: Bacteria; Pseudomonadati; Pseudomonadota; Gammaproteobacteria; Enterobacterales; Pectobacteriaceae
Description: tRNA-Gly
Rfam family: tRNA
About the family: Transfer RNA (tRNA) molecules are approximately 80 nucleotides in length.
Source: RNAcentral
GCGGGAAUAGCUCAGUUGGUAGAGCACGCCUUGCCAAGGUCGGGGUCGCGAGUUCGAGUCUCGUUUCCCGCUCCA